RNAcentral lists this transfer RNA (77 nucleotides) under Candidatus Curtissbacteria bacterium RIFCSPHIGHO2_02_FULL_40_16b. Its description in RNAcentral is "tRNA-Pro". It matches the Rfam family "tRNA". Rfam says of the family: Transfer RNA (tRNA) molecules are approximately 80 nucleotides in length. Their secondary structure includes four short double-helical elements and three loops (D, anti-codon, and T loops). Further hydrogen bonds mediate the characteristic L-shaped molecular structure. tRNAs have two regions of fundamental functional importance: the anti-codon, which is responsible for specific mRNA codon recognition, and the 3' end, to which the tRNAs corresponding amino acid is attached (by aminoacyl-tRNA synthetases). tRNAs cope with the degeneracy of the genetic code in two manners: having more than one tRNA (with a specific anti-codon) for a particular amino acid; and 'wobble' base-pairing, i.e. permitting non-standard base-pairing at the 3rd anti-codon position. The record is from RNAcentral. Lineage: Bacteria; Candidatus Curtissiibacteriota. RNAcentral also lists the same sequence under 2 other names.
CGGGGAGUAGCUCAGUUGGCUAGAGCGCGCCGUUUGGGACGGCGAGGUCGGAGGUUCGAGUCCUCUCUCCCCGACUA